Phragmites australis (common reed) is the source of this 896-nucleotide long non-coding RNA. RefSeq lists it as uncharacterized. The record is from RefSeq and is a predicted model, not a curated record. NCBI's taxonomy places the organism in Eukaryota, Viridiplantae, Streptophyta, Magnoliopsida, Poales, Poaceae. The transcript has 3 exons.
AGCGAGCUAAAGAAUGGGCAUGGAAGCAGGAAUGCAUGAUGCCAUAUAGUAAGUAACUCACGCAGUUCUCCAGUGGCCUUCAACUGAGGCACCCUGACGGUGCUAGUGCCGUUGUUGAACGCGUACAUGCGAGUGCCGCCAUCGACGAGCGCCACCGGGUAAACUCUGGCCAUGAUGCAGACCCUGCCACCGCCACCGAAGCUUUCCACCGCGGAACGAUCAAUCUGCAUGUUGCCAGAGGUCGAAUUCGAAGAAGCCUCCAUAGGCUGGUGUGUACAGCUCUGGUCUCAAGGACGACCUGCAAAAACGAAACAAAUUCUAUUGCUUAAUUGAUGCAACGAAGGGUAUGAAGUUUUUAUAAACAUCAGGAUAUCUGAAAUUUUUAGUGAAAACUGAAAAAGAAGAGAUGAAAUUGUAUGUACUAACCUUCUCAGAUCAGAACACAUAAGGAUCAUGUACUUCUGCUGUGAUUUGUAAACUCUGAAGUGCACAUCUGUGUGCUCUUCCAUGUUAUCAGACGCAAGAACCACAAGUCCAAAUGGACCCACGCCGCCAUGAACCGACGCAUCUGCUUCCCGACAAUGCUUCUCGGGGUCCAAAAGCCAGGAAGGAUCAAAAGGGUCAGCACUAUCUAUGUCUGAAGGCUCAAAAUCUAUCUCCACAUCUGCCUGUUUCAAGAAAAUGAUGUGCCGGAUCAGCUACAUUUGCUACGGAAAACAUACCGAAAUGGCAAAACCUAAGCGCAUAUAUAGUUGAUUGUCACAGAUUUGACUGUUAUGACAUCUAGUUGAAGUAAGAAAAGGGUUGUUUGGACGAUCAAGCAAGCAAGUGUGACCAGGAGAAACUAGCCUGUAAAGUAUCGAUUUCCUUAAUCUCAAACAGACUCCCUUUCUUGA